RNAcentral lists this long non-coding RNA (913 nucleotides) under Nicotiana tabacum (common tobacco). Its description in RNAcentral is "long non-coding RNA (NTAB_LNC019039)". The record is from RNAcentral. Lineage: Eukaryota; Viridiplantae; Streptophyta; Magnoliopsida; Solanales; Solanaceae.
CAAAAGUAGUGCAUUUUUGGAGGAUCCAAAAUGGGUGCGGCAGUAUUUUGGAGAGUCCGCGGAACAUAGCUAUCGGAAGCAACCUCCCUACCUUCAAGGUAGGGGUAAUGUCUUGUACACAUUACCCUCCCCAGCCCCCCACUUGUGGGAUUACACUAGGUUUGUUGUUCUUGUUGCUAGGCAAUACGGAACCUCCCAACAGCUCUUUUGUGCAGUUUAUCUGGCUUUGGAACAUUGCUUAUUUGUACCAUUGGUGGUAAAGCUGAAGGGGAUUUGGUCUAUAAACCCUUCUCUUUUCUUAGGUGAAUAGCUGUUUGCGGUUCAAUUUUUCAUUGACCUAUUUAAGAUGGCCACGAACGAUUUUUAAAUCCUUAUUAGUUCUUUACUCUUUUUUAAAAUAAAGAAAUUGAAUGAUGGUCGACAAAGUUAUUCUAUCCAACCCUCAAAGGAUGCUUUAUACAAACUAAAAAUAUGGGUCCUAUGCGAGCUCCAAAUUUUAAGGAUAGUUUUUUUUUAUUUGCAUUAUCCCAUAACCUUUGCUUUUAAGAAUAUGAUCUCCUUAAUCACUGAUGAUAGAGGGUCCAGGUGGUGUAGCGCUACCUUCGGUUGGUGGACGAGAUAAUGAUGAAGACAACACCAUUUCAGAAAGCUAAUUAUGACUACACCUGGGCAUUACCAUUUUUAUGGAAAAUAAAAUACAAAGUAUUACUCAAUUGCGUUGCAGAAGGUGUUAAUUUUCUUUUGGGUUCCUCCUAUUACAAUCUCUACAAUAUGCUUUGUUGCUAAAAUUUGGAGCUUGCAUUGAACCUAUAUUGUAGUUUACAAAGCAUCCUUUGGGGGUUGGAUAGAAUAACUUCGUCAUAUGUAAUUAGAUAUGUUUCUCUAUUUGUUUUGGUAAAUGGCCUGAUAAGUG